GAAAUGCGAUAAGUAAUGUGAAUUGCAGAAUUCAGUGAAUCAUCGAAUCUUUGAACGCACCUUGCGCUCCUUGGUAUUCCUUGGAGCAUGCCUGUUUGAGUAUCAUGAAAUCUUCAAAGUAAAUCUUUUGUUAACUCAAUUGGUUUCUACUUUGGUAUUGGAGGUCUUUGCAGCUUCACACCUGCUCCUCUUUGUUCAUUAGCUGGAUCUCAGUGUUAUGCUUGGUUCCACUCGGCGUGAUAAGUUAUCUAUCGCUGAGGACACUGUAAAAGGUGGCCAAGGUAAAUGCAGACGAACCGCUUCUAAUAGUCCAUUGACUUGGACAAUACUUUUAUGAUCUGAUCUCAAAUCAGGUAGGACUACCCGCUGAACUUAAGC
This 378-nucleotide unclassified non-coding RNA is filed under the name plant metagenome. RNAcentral describes it as "partial contains 5.8S ribosomal RNA, internal transcribed spacer 2, and large subunit ribosomal RNA". The stretch from base 1 to 105 matches the Rfam family "5.8S ribosomal RNA", at positions 50 to 154 of the family's 154-position model. The record is from RNAcentral.